CUUCCUCAUCAUUAUCCACAGCCAGAUCUUUUGGGGCUCGGUUGAUCUGAUAGUCGUUGCUCUGAACACUUUUUGUUUUUAACUUUGACUCCUCCCUCCUCAUGAGGUGAAAUAAAAAUACACGGGUUUUACCGAUUUUGGAGGCUUCAACGCAGAGUGUAAUUUUCUGCCGCCAGGGGUCUCUCAAUCAAAACAAUAACAAAAGACGAAGUUUGAUGACGUCGUGAAGUAGCUUGGGAUCAUGGGAGUUGUUGUCUUCAUCGUUAAACAACCAUCACUGCAGUUUUCACGUUGCUGGAAACAUUUGGGAUAAUUGAAGAAGACGAGGAAUGUCCACUUCUGCCAUAUCUCUGUAAACAAGUUCAAUUAUAUGUGAGGAUCUCUGCCAGUGGAAACAAUAUCAUCUGGAGAAGACGAGAGGACAGGAGUGUUCAUCCAUUGGGAAAUUAUGGAGUUGCAGCUGGCAUUCUGCGUUGAUGGUCAUCCUGGAGAGGAAGAUGGAGAGACAGAAGGAGAAAGAAACACUUUCAAAUAAAGACAUUCAAGGCACUAAAUAUGCUUUGGAUCCUUCAUUUUCCGGUCCAUGAAGCACAUGGUGUGAAUGCACGGUGAACAAAGCGCAGAUGCUGUACACGCUCGCUUUUCAUCCUUGUCAGGAGGAAAUCCAAAUUUGGGCAAGAGUGUGGAGCUGAUGUGGGGAGAGCAAGCAGCGACAAACACAGCAAAAGAUGCUGUUCUAUCUCACACUGGCUCCACCCUCUACUGGACUAAUCCAAUCUAAAAUAUGCAAGUGGAAAACAUGAACAACCAUGGAGCAACCUUAGCAACAAAGGCUAUGGGAACAGAUGGCCGUUUGUGGGCAUGUGUGAACAAUCAUCUGAUGUCAGUUCGAUGGCAGCAACUCACUCCAAGGACAAGCUGCAGUGAGCCAUCUGCACCGCUGAGAGGGACAUCAGUUGCAAUCACCCAACUACUGGGAAGCUGUACUACUUCACACACAGGUGAUUGUCAACUUGGCUAACCUGGCUACCUGAGAUGUGAGGAGAAGCAUUUGCCAGGACUCUAAACUCCUUUUCAUCUAAUGAAAUGUCACUGGACUUGAAAUAUUGAGGAGGCUCAUCUGAGAAUUGUCCUUUCAGCUGGUGAGGUGUCACCGCUGUGCCAAAUGUCAGCUCUGCGAGGAUCAAGGAGAAGAAGGCCUGCCAGGGCCGAGUCAGCCUCAAAGCCAUCGAGAUCUGAGCCAGAGGUGCAGAGAGCAACUAUUUUACUCCAGCGGAAAUACUGUUAUUUUGCUCGGUGCGUAUUUCCUAAAGAAGCGCAGGACAAAAUGUGAGGUAAAAUUAGGCCUCAGUGGCCUACAAAGCCACAGACCAGGUGUGCCUGUGUGCAAGUUACCGUCGCCCGACAGGAUUUUAGGGCGUCACUGCAGUUUGGAGCUAAGGUGCAAAUGUGCAUAUCGCAACUUUUAAGUAAAAAACAGGCAAUUUCAUGAUAAAAUAAAAAAAAGGUUUUUGAGUCCAUAUUCUUCACAUGUAUCCCUGAGAGUUAUUAAUUGUGCUUAAGUAUGCUAGACCCCCUAAAAAUGAAUAG
Long non-coding RNA from Thunnus maccoyii (southern bluefin tuna), 1590 nucleotides. RefSeq lists it as uncharacterized. NCBI's taxonomy places the organism in Eukaryota, Metazoa, Chordata, Actinopteri, Scombriformes, Scombridae. The record is from RefSeq and is a predicted model, not a curated record. The transcript is spliced from 7 exons.